AGAGGGAGGAAUAGAAAGCUAUGCCUGGAAAAGCAUGGCUUAUGUCCAGGGUGUGAAUUAAAUAGUAGUUUGGGGGACUGAGCCCCCCCAUAAGACAUGAGAGCCCUCCUGUAAAAUUUGAAAAUCAUAACCUGGGUGGUCUCCAAUCAGACUGCUCCUUCAGUUAGGUGGACCUCUUAAUUAAUGAACUAGUUUAAUUAUUUUUGCAGACCUCUCACCCCCAAGAGUCAAAGUAUAAUUCAAACCCUGCUUAUGUCCAGUCUGAAGGAGAGUUCAAACUUGUUUGGGGUCACCUACUGAAGAAGGCGAAUAAGAACAUCCAGCAAAAGAGAGCUUAAUAGACCUGGAUACCAAACCUGAAGAGAUGUGGCGUGAGAGGUAAGGAACCUGUUUGUAUAAAAGAGCCUUUCUUCCCGGAACAGUUUUCCAGUUAACAGGAAAAGAGUUUUAUCUCUGCUAUGUAUAAGAGUUCUGGUGUCUCCUAAAUACAGUGGACUUCUACAAGACUUCUGGUUUGAUAACCAAUUUUUAUCUCAGUCAGUAAAUAUCAUAGUGGAUGUGGACAAUGCAAACAAUGCUUCUUGUCCUACGAGAGAGAGCCACCUAAACUUGAUCUAAAAGAUAAAGGAGAACAGGUGUAAGAAGAAAAGAGUAAUGUGAAUGUGGCCACCUCUUGUGAAUGAAGAUUUAAAGCUGCUGGAAUGUAGAGCAGCAGUUCCCAAACUGUGGAUCAAGACUCCAAAUGGGGUCAAAAUAUCAGUGGUUGGAGUUAUGAGAUUUCUGCACCCACAGCAGAGCACACAGCUGCAAUAGGGCUGGACCAGCUCCAGGCAGGAGCCGCCUCUGCAGCCCAGUGGGUUGGACCCAGUGCAGGAGAGAGCUGCAUUGUCAUGUCUGCCAAGGUGAGGUGUGGCAGUAUGGAGUUGUGCCCCCACUGGUGCCAGGUGGGCAAGGAGUGCCUCAGCUUGGUGGCAAUGGUGGCGUGGCACUUAAUCCUGCAUCAGUUCUUGCCUGAUGGGCAGUGGAGCCCCCUGGAGGAGGGCAGCAGGGCAGGGAGCCCCAAGCCCUCAGCAGGCAGCCUGCAUUAC
This is a long non-coding RNA of Alligator sinensis (Chinese alligator), 1088 nucleotides long. RefSeq lists it as uncharacterized. The record is from RefSeq and is a predicted model, not a curated record. Lineage: Eukaryota; Metazoa; Chordata; Crocodylia; Alligatoridae. The transcript has 3 exons.